RNAcentral lists this ribosomal RNA (253 nucleotides) under uncultured bacterium. Its description in RNAcentral is "partial 16S ribosomal RNA". It matches the Rfam family "Bacterial small subunit ribosomal RNA", at positions 526 to 779 of the family's 1533-position model. The record is from RNAcentral.
CGUAGGGUGCGAGCGUUAAUCGGAAUUACUGGGCGUAAAGCGAGCGCAGGCGGUUCUGCAAGUCAGAUGUGAAAUCCCCGGGCUCAACCUGGGAACUGCGUUUGAAACUACAGAGCUAGAGUAUGGGAGAGGGAGGUAGAAUUCCAGGUGUAGCGGUGAAAUGCGUAGAGAUCUGGAGGAAUACCGAUGGCGAAGGCAGCUUCCUGGCAUAAUAUUGACACUGAGAUUCGAAAGCGUGGUAGCAAACAGGAUU